Molecule: long non-coding RNA, 1482 nt
Filed under: Manacus vitellinus (golden-collared manakin)
Lineage: Eukaryota; Metazoa; Chordata; Aves; Passeriformes; Pipridae
Description: lncRNA (ENSMVIG00005007488.1)
Source: RNAcentral
GAGAGUCCUUGGCCUUCAUCAGGAGAGUCCUUGACCUUCAUCAUCCUCAGAGAACCCUUGGCCUUCAUCAUCCUCCUCAGAGAGUCCUUGACCUUCAUCAUUGUCUUCUGAGGGCCUUGGCCUUCAUCAUGUUGAUCUUCAUCAUCAUCCUCACCGUGGGAGAGCCCUUGGCCUUCAUCCUCCUCCUGAAGAGCCCUUGACCUUCAUCUUCAUCAUCAUGGAAGAGCCCUUGGCCUUCAUCCUCCUCCUGAAGAGCCCUUGACCUUCAUCCUCCUCCUCCUGAAGAGCCCUUGGCCUUCAUCAUCAUGGAAGAGCCCUUGACCUUCAUCAUCAUCAUCAUGGAAGAGCCCUUGGUCUUCAUCAUCAUCAUCAUGGAAGAACCCUUGGCCUUCAUCAUCCUCCUCCUCUCCAUGGAAGAGCCCUUGACCUUCCUCCUCCUCCUCCUCCCCCGCUGUCACCGAGGCCCCUCCCGCCCCCUCCCCCCACUUUGGGUCCAUUCCCCCCUUUUUUUGGUCCAGUCUUGGUCACUUUUUGCUCCUUUUUGGGUCAUUUCCCCCAUUUUUUUUCAUUUUCCCCCAUUUUUGGUUCAUUUCCUCCAUUUUUCCUUCUUUCCCCCUUUUUUUUACCAUUUUCCCUUUUUUCUCCCUCAUUUUCUUCCAUUUCCCUCCAUUUUACCCAUUUUUGGUCGUUUUUCCUCCACUUUGUUCAUUUUUGUUCUUUUUUUUGGUCUCCCCAUUUUUUGUUCAUUUUUGUCCCAGUUUUUGUUCAUUUUUGUCCCAAUUUCAGUCACUUUUCCCCCAUUUUUGUUCUUUUUUUCCCCCCAUUUUUAUUCUUUUUUUUCCCCAUUUUUGUUCCUUUUUUCCCCAUUUUUGUUCUUUUUUUCCCAUUUUCGUUCUUUCCCAUUUCCCCCCAUUUUUGGUCUUUUUUCCCCAUUUUUGGUCAUUUUUUUUUCUCCAUUUUUGUUCAUUUUUUCCCCCAUUUUUGUUCUUUUUCCCCCCAUUUUUGGUCGAUUUUUUCCCCAUUUUUGGUUGAUUUUUUCCCCCAUUUUUGUUCUUUUUUCCCCCCUUUUUGUUCUUUUUUUUUUUCCCCAUUUUUGGGUUUUUUUCCCCCAUUUUUGUUUUUUUUUUUCCCAUUUUUGUUCCUUUUUUUCCCAUUUUCGUUCUUUCUCAUUUCCCCCCAUUUUUGGUCUCUUUUCCCCCAUUUUUGGUCGAUUUUUCCCCCAUUUUUGGUCUUUUUUUUCCCCCAUUUUUGGUCAUUUUUUCCCCCCAUUUUUGGUCAUUUUCCCCCCAUUUUUGGUCGAUUUUUUCCCCCAUUUUUGGUCGUUUUUUUUGCCCGUUUUUGGUCGUUUUCCCCCCGUUUUUGGUCGGUUUUUUUGCCCGUUUUCUUUGGUUUUUCAUAUUGAAAAGUCGCCCCCGGGGCCGAAAAUAAACCCGGGAUGGAAAAGCCACCCAAGCGUCGCUUUGUGUCACCUCUGUCACCUGG